GUGUUCACUUCAGCAGCACAUAUACUAAAAUUGGAUCAAUACAGAGAUUAGCAAGGCCUGAGCAAAGAUACACACAAAUUCAUGAAGUGUUUCAUAACUUU
This is a small nuclear RNA of Fukomys damarensis (Damara mole-rat), 101 nucleotides long. Lineage: Eukaryota; Metazoa; Chordata; Mammalia; Rodentia; Bathyergidae. The record is from Ensembl.